CCUACGGGUGGCAGCAGUCGAGAAUCAUUCACAAUGGGGGAAACCCUGAUGGUGCGACGCCGCGUGGGGGAAUGAAGGUCUUCGGAUUGUAAACCCCUUUUAGGUGGGAGUAAAUUAAAACUCUAGUACCACAUGAUGUAGGUACCGCUAACUCUGUGCCAGCAGCCGUGGUAGUAAACAGGGCACAUGCUUCGUUCGGAAUCAGUGGGCGUAAAGGGUGCGUAGGCUGGUUAGUAAGUCGUCUGUGAAAGGCGCGGGCUCAACCGGCGCACGGAACAUGAUACUGCGGGACUAGAGUAAUGACGGGGGAGCCGGAAUUCAUGGUGUAGCAGUGAAAUGCGUAGAUAUCGAGAGGAACACUCGGGGCGAAGGCGAGUGCCUGGACAUUAACUGACGCUGAGGCACGAAGGCCAGGGGAGCGAAAGGGAUUAGAUACCCUUGUAGUC
Molecule: ribosomal RNA, 446 nt
Filed under: uncultured bacterium
Lineage: Bacteria
Description: partial 16S ribosomal RNA
Rfam family: Bacterial small subunit ribosomal RNA
Source: RNAcentral